This is an RNA transcript of Mangifera indica (mango), 1107 nucleotides long. It is a transcript of the gene named E3 ubiquitin-protein ligase BRE1A-like, with no coding region annotated. The record is from RefSeq and is a predicted model, not a curated record. The transcript has 5 exons. Lineage: Eukaryota; Viridiplantae; Streptophyta; Magnoliopsida; Sapindales; Anacardiaceae.
UAUAAGCACUUGUUGCAUCAUGAACAUAAGAGAGAGAGAAAGAGAGAGAGAAACAACACAUCAUUUCAAAGCAAAAGCAAAAGAGAAAGAGAGAGAACAAGAAGAAGAUAAAGAGAGAAAAUCAGGGAAGAAGAAGGGUUUUUUUUGCUGUCAAGAUUGUUUGAAGAUGUCUAUAGAGCAACCCCAGCAGAGCCAGAGCCAAAGCCAAAACUUGAACCAGUUAAUGUUGCAGCAGAGCUCUGGUAGUCUCAGCUUCAACAGCAACUUGUCUAAGGAAGAUGAAGAGAUGUCGAGGUCCGCUCUCUCCACUUUCAGAGCCAAAGAAGAAGAGAUUGAGAGGAAAAAACUUGAAGUAAGAGAGAAGGUUCAAGCUCAGUUGGGUCGUGUUGAAGAAGAGACCAAAAGAUUGGCCACGAUUCGUGAGGAGCUUGAAGCACUUGCAGAUCCAAUGAGGAAGGAAGUUUCUCUGGUCCGUAAGAAGAUUGAUACUGUGAAUAAAGAAUUAAAGCCUCUAGGCCAUACCUGCCAGAAGAAGGAAAGAGAAUACAAGGAAGCCCUUGAGGCUUUCAAUGAAAAGAACAAGGAAAAAGUACAGCUAAUCACCAAAUUAAUGGAGCUGGUGAGUGAAAGUGAGAAGUUGAGGAUGAAGAAGCUGGAGGAGCUGAGUAAAAGCAUAGAGUCAAUGCAACAGUGAUAUAGCCUAGUGCUGAUAACUGAUUAAGUUUGAGUGAUGUAUUUAAGGUGACUUGUUAUAUUUACAUAUGGGUGUUCGGGGUUUGGUGUAUUUUAUGGUAUCGUUGUCUGUUUUUCAAUUAGAAUCUGUUGAAGUUUCAGCUGAUUUAGGAAGGGAAUUACCCUAUAAACAGUACCAGUUUGAAAGAUUACAGACGAAAACUGCUUUCAAGAAGACUCUUUGUUCAUUGUGUUAAGACAAUUUGUUCUAAGUUUCUUCCUAGAAGCUGAUACUUUAAAGAAGAUUCUGUUGCAAUGUUCAUUUAGCAGAACUAUAUAGGCAUUUAUGGUAAACAAAGUACCUUAUCUUCUUGUUUUGUGGCUUGCUGUAAAUGCUGCUUGUGUGGAUGACAAAUGAUACAAAUCAUUCUGAUA